Molecule: long non-coding RNA, 933 nt
Organism: Momordica charantia (bitter melon)
Lineage: Eukaryota; Viridiplantae; Streptophyta; Magnoliopsida; Cucurbitales; Cucurbitaceae
Source: RefSeq, a predicted model, not a curated record
CAUGCAAGAGUUGCAUGUAAUUUGCCUAUUUAAGAAGGCUUUUGUUCAAACAUCAAGAUCGCUUGGAACCUUUGGCCAUUUGAUGUGUUUCCAAAAAGCUUACAUAACUCUUUUUAGCUCCACUUUUCUCUAAUUUUUUCCUUCUCUAAAAAGAGUCACACCACUCUAUUCCAAGCCUUGAGAAUAGCUAUUUUGAAAAGCUACAAAGAUUUCUAGAGAUCUUGUUAGAUUGAUCAUUCUGUCGAGUGUAAUUGGAAUUACCUUGUUGAAGAGAGGAAUUUGGUUUAUCGGUCCCAACAAUUCUAAAAAGUAAGUCCAAGUCAUACUUGUUGAUGCAGAAAUUUGGCUUCUUAGAAUUCUGUCAAAUUCGCACCAAUUCUUCUAGAAUAAAUGGAUUGACGAGACCUGCAAAAUAGAAUAGCACUAAGAUUGAUGUGGCUCUUUCUACACAGGUUCUGAUACUUAAGUUAAGAUCGGAGUAGUUGAGUAUAAAGUGUAAGGUAUUGUGACAUACGCUUACCCUCCUAUUUAUAGAGGUUGAAUCCUAAUCCCUUGAGGAUUUACAUCAGUAGAAUCCUAAUGUAAUCAGGAGAUCUAGAUGGAGUGGACCUCAUGCUGCAUUGAGGGUCGAGACCAAGUUAACUCGGAUCGGGCUGUGCGAGGGUUGGGGAGAAUUGAUGAAGCUCUCGGCCAUCGAGCUAAGAACUCCUCGACGUCGAGAAGGCCUUGGUGCCGAGGUCAAGUCAACAUCAAGCAGUGUUCGGCGCCGACCCCGAGUCAACUAUGGCCGACUUGGGUUGCCGGGCCCCAAUCCACUUACCUUGCUUCCCGGUUUCGCUCCUUCUUUGGCUCCUUUUCGGUUGCUUAGUCUGAUCUCUAUUUUCUUCCUAUAACAAUGUAAUUACACUUUAUGCGAUCAUGGCAAUUUUUCCC